This 77-nucleotide transfer RNA is filed under the name Candidatus Symbiobacter mobilis CR. RNAcentral's name for it is "tRNA-Arg (TCT) (tRNA-Arg-TCT-1-1)". It matches the Rfam family "tRNA". From Rfam's summary of the family: Transfer RNA (tRNA) molecules are approximately 80 nucleotides in length. Their secondary structure includes four short double-helical elements and three loops (D, anti-codon, and T loops). The record is from RNAcentral. Lineage: Bacteria; Pseudomonadati; Pseudomonadota; Betaproteobacteria; Burkholderiales; Comamonadaceae.
CAGCCAGUAGCUCACCGGGAUAGAGCACGAACCUUCUAAGUUCGGGGUAGGGGGUUCGAGUCCCUCCUGGCUGGCCA